UACAGAGGGUGCGAGCGUUGUCCGGAAUCACUGGGCGUAAAGGGCGUGUAGGCGGCUGGGUAAGCCGCGUGUGAAAUCCCGGGGCUCAACCCCGGAAUGGCACGCGGGACUGUCCGGCUCGAGCAUGGUAGAGGCGAGUGGAAUUCCUGGUGUAGCGGUGGAAUGCGUAGAGAUCAGGAAGAACACCAGUGGCGAAGGCGGCUCGCUGGGCCAUUGCUGACGCUGAGGCGCGAAAGCGUGGGGAG
This 245-nucleotide ribosomal RNA is filed under the name uncultured bacterium. RNAcentral's name for it is "partial 16S ribosomal RNA". It matches the Rfam family "Bacterial small subunit ribosomal RNA", at positions 524 to 768 of the family's 1533-position model. The record is from RNAcentral.